UACAGAGGGUGCGAGCGUUGUCCGGAAUCACUGGGCGUAAAGGGCGCGUAGGCGGCCCCUUAAGCGUGUGGUGAAAGCUCGGGGCUCAACCUCGAGUCGGCCAUGCGGACUGGGGGGCUGGAGCACGUCAGAGGCAGGCGGAAUUCCGGGAGUAGCGGUGGAAUGCGUAGAGAUCCGGAAGAACACCGGUGGCGAAGGCGGCCUGCUGGGACGUGGCUGACGCUGAGGCGCGACAGCGUGGGGAGCAAACAGG
Molecule: ribosomal RNA, 253 nt
Filed under: uncultured bacterium
Lineage: Bacteria
Description: partial 16S ribosomal RNA
Rfam family: Bacterial small subunit ribosomal RNA
Source: RNAcentral